Long non-coding RNA from Neofelis nebulosa (Clouded leopard), 1197 nucleotides. RefSeq lists it as uncharacterized. Lineage: Eukaryota; Metazoa; Chordata; Mammalia; Carnivora; Felidae. The transcript is spliced from 2 exons. The record is from RefSeq and is a predicted model, not a curated record.
AAGAGGUUCCCAGGACUCUGCUGGGUAGUGACCCCUAGGCAGGCUUACUCCGGAGCCCCAGAUAGGGCACAGGGCAGUGGAGUUGCCUGGGCAGAGGGUCAGGAAGCAGGAUGAUCUUGUGAGGGCCCCAUUCCAUUGGAACUAACUUUUCCCUAUUCUCACCUUAAGGCCCAAGUCCCCAGGUCCAGAGAAGAGGGCUCUCUGGGCUCCUCCUUGGGAGGGUCUGGCAGUUUCUUUGCAGAAGAUGGAGCACUGUCGUCCUCUAGUGGUCUUGGGAGAGGGUGCAAAGACUUGAAGAGAAAGAAACUGCCGGACAGGCGGUCAAGGUUCAAGCGCUGGUUAAGCCUGCUGCCCUCACCCCACCUUUAGCAGAUCCUUGAGAUGUCACCAGAUGACCUGAGAAUCCAGACUCCUGUGAAUGGCCUUGUGGAUCCAGAGAGAGCACAAAUGAAGAAGAGUGGCAGAGGAAGGGAGAGAGAGAAUCCCAAGCAGGCUCCACACUCAGCACAGAACCCACCGCGGGGUUCGAUCCCACGACCCCAGGAUCAUGACCUGAGCGGAUAUCAAGGAGUUGGAAGCUUAACUGACUAAGCCAACCAGGCGCCUCCAUCGUUCCCUUAUUAAUAAACAUGUUAAUUGUAUGCAAAAUUUCCCAGUUAUUAACAGCACUAUCAUGCAGUCCUUGAAGCUCUUUUUGCUCAUCUCACAAUUUCUAUAGAAGAAAUUCCUUAAAGAGGAAAGUUAAGUCAAAAAAUAUGCAAAGAUCUAAGGCUUUAGAUUUCUGCUGCCAAACGGCUCUCCAAAAACACUGAAACAAUUUACAACUUCCCCAUCAACGUGGGAAUAUCUACUUCCCUAUAACCUAACCCUGGGUAUGAUUUACUUUUCAUCUUCAAUCCGUGGGAUACUUAAAAUAUAAGGCAUCUCACUGAUGUCACAAUUACCGUUUCUUAUUAUUGGCAACCACUACAUUUUAUUGUUUGAGUAUUGCCUAUCUUAUUGUAAAUUGCUUUUCCUUGUCCUUUGCUGAUUUUUUGACAGGAGUUAUUGCCACAUCAUAAGAAUGCUAGUAAAAACGACAAUCUUUUGUUGGCCAGAUAUGUUGAAAGUAUUUCUCCUACUUUAUGAUUUGACUUUCAAUUUUAUUUGGAUGUUUCAUAGGUAAAGAGAAAAAUUAUAAUUUGUUAGCCAAAGCUA